AAGCCAGGACCAGGCAGGCUAGCAAAGAAGAGGAAGUGAAGCCAGGGUGUGUCUGCAGCUAGCUCUAGGCAGCUUUGGAGUCAUGUGCUUUCUGCCCGGCCGGCCUCUAGAUGCUGAAUCAACCCCACCUGGUUCCGCGUCUACCUCACCUCGCCUCUUGUGGCAUUCCUGCUGUCUGGCAGAGCUAACCUUUGCUGAGCAAGAAAGGCCGAAAAGCAGCAAUGGUAACCCUAACAAGACAACACAUACGAACAGUCUGAGAAUGAUGCUUGAGAGGAACAAUUCAGGUCAAGGACUGAGACAGCAGGUCAUACGUUUGAACUCAUGUGGAUUCCCUACCUCCUGGCCCCUGUCCUGCACAGGACACGACUCACUGUCUGCUUCUGAGAAUGAUCCAGAUUCGUCACUGGAAUUGGUUCCGUAAGACUGCUCACAUUUAAUUUGGGGUCGGACUUGGUUGUACAUGCCAUCUCCCAUCAGGCCCGGUUCCUGAUGUUCUGUGGCAAGGAAUCUGGCUCCCUGGGAACAGGGUGAGGAGGAGAACUCACAGAGAGGGAGGCUGCAGGGGGAGCCCCCGCUCCCAUCCUCUGCAUAGGAAUAGGAGGAGCAGGAGCUGGAGGUCCUGGUUCUGGUCUCUAGUGGAGGUGAGCGAGGACAGACUUUGAUUGGCACCGGGCAGCUGGUGUUGGGCCGUAUCCUGCCUGGCAAGUGGUCAGCCAUCAGUCCGCUGUGGGAGUAGGCCUGUGAGCUGGGGAGGGACUGGCCAGUUCCUACCCAUAGACUUUUUGGCACCGGCUCGGAGAGGUCUUUGUCCAAAUUGCUCACCCCAGAAUACAAAUGCACUGGAGCGCUCACUUGGUCACACGUGCUCGAGGAGAAGAUGACACUCCUCCGGUCCAGCUCUCCCUCCUGUUUGCAGAGAGCCUCUGUCCCAGGCCCCCUGAGCGGCGACCCCAUUGUGAAGUUGGACACAUCCUUCUGGCCCACGUGGGGCUGUCCAUAAUUCCCCGUGAAAGGGGUGUAGUCAGUUUUAAGGUCACCCUGAGAGAUCCCCUUGUUAAAAGGGCACGCCGAACUCCUGACAAAGUGUUGCUGAGAUGUACCGGGCAGGCCAGACGACUCCACACCUUUUGCUAUACUGAACAGAGACCGCAGACAGGAAGGUGAGGACACACUCCUGGAUCUGUCCAGGCAGGUGGCUCCGGUAGGGGUACUGGGGGUAGGGGUAGGGCUGGGCUGUUUCCGGUCCAUCUCAACAUCCCCUGGUCUGUCUUUGAUGUCAGUUUCAUCUCCAGACAGGCAGAGUGUGACGCUCUCCUCCUCGGUCUCUUCACUGGGUGGCUCACUCUUAAUCUGUCCCCUGGAGAGCCCUGGUUUGAGGCUAUUGCCUGGGCUGUCUUCACUGAACGUGUUUGCAAACCCUGAGGUACUGUGUGAGGACGCACUGUAGACAUUCUUGGUACAUGCAAGCUGGUACUUCUUGUAUCUAGGGUACUGUGUCAAUGCAUCCUUUUCUAAGUUUUCCUUGGUGUCUGUGGGUACCUCAGACUCAGGUAGCAAGGCUUCCUUCUCUGCUACGGGAAUGGCAGCGGCCUCAAAGCUGAUGGGGUCUGUGGGGCAAGCCAUCUUCGCUGUCUCUGAGUCCAUCGUCUCUUCCUCCUCCUCCUCUUCUCCUGCAGAGUUCCCAUGAUCCUCUUGGGGGCGCUGGCACGCGCUGUCCUUCCGGCACACAAACAGGCCAUCCUCGCUGUUCAGGAGCUGUGUCUGCAGGAAGCUGAAGCAGGAGUCCUCCAAAUUGUGCAUGCGUAGGAACUCAGCACAGCGGAUGACCUCGCGGAUGUUCUCUCUGCUGAGUAACAGCUUGGCAGUGUAGGCAAACUGGAGCAGUGGCCCAAAGCCCCUGGCCGUGACCUGCAAAACAAACAGGGAAAUUGCCAACGUUACCAUCAGCACUGUUAUUGUCCUGAAUUUCUCAACCAAAGCAAGAUAACCAGACAGUGCUAAUGCCCUGGAAUAAAAACCGCAAAGGAGCGGUUAAUCUCGUCCUGGGUCA
Molecule: long non-coding RNA, 2053 nt
Organism: Arvicola amphibius (Eurasian water vole)
Lineage: Eukaryota; Metazoa; Chordata; Mammalia; Rodentia; Cricetidae
Exons: 2
Source: RefSeq, a predicted model, not a curated record